Acanthosepion pharaonis is the source of this 114-nucleotide non-coding RNA. NCBI's taxonomy places the organism in Eukaryota, Metazoa, Mollusca, Cephalopoda, Sepiida, Sepiidae. The record is from the annotation of a GenBank genome assembly.
UUACGGCCAUAUCUUAUUGAAACACCGGUUGUCGUACGAUCAUCGAAGUUAAGCAACGUCGAACCUGGUUUGUACGUAGAUGGGAGACCAAUGACGAAUACCAAGUGCUGUAAG